UUUUUUUUCUUUAAUACAAAUAUAUCGAUCUCAAGAUUUUAUUUUGAAAUAAUAGAAAGUUUAUGACAAAAGAAAUCGAAUGAGAAACUUUUUAAACCUCGUGGGACCUAACUUAAAACUCUCAAAAGUCCAGUUGAAAUUUUUCCUAUAUACUAUCUCACUUCCCAUCAUUCACUUCUAUAUCUUCUCGUCAGUCAUCGUUAUAAGCACGGCACUUUACGAAUAGAUGGGGAGACAUACGUCUCGACAUUUAUUUAUAUUCAUACUUAGGUAAAUUUAUAUCGUCCCGUAAAAGGUAGAUCGCGAAAGUGCAUGUCUCGAUAAUGAUAUAUCGUUUCGUUAUUAUACAAGAUGAAGACAAAUUUAUAGAUGAAGAUUGUGGAAGACAAAUUUCGUUUGUUGUUAUUCGAAAAGAAACAUACGAAUGCGUCAUCGGUCGAAGUCGAAUAAACGGCCGGUCAUUGAACCGUCGGUGAUUCUUGCCAAUAAAGCGGACCCGAGAAGUGUGCUCGCUCUAAUUUCGAUCAAUUAAUACGAGACCGAGGCCACUCGACGAAACUCUUGACUUCUGUCUUCUAAAAUCCAUAUGUAAUCCAAACGAAAUAGUAUUCGAAAUUAAAUAUUAUGAGUUUUAUUUAGGAGAUUAUUUAGAAAAAUCAUUACGAGCUUGACAGAUUUAUAAUUAUACUUUUAUUUAUUUAUCGUGGCGUUUAUCAUCGCUAAUGAGUUAUUUAUCUUUUUCUUUUUUUUUUUUUCUUUUUAGAUCGUUUCAUUUGAGAAAUUUACACUGACAAUUUUUUAAAGAACAUAAAUAUAAUAUUUGUAUUUUCUAAAACAUUGUCUCUACGCGCGAUAUAAAAUUGAGAAGUAAAAGGAUAUAGAUUCGUAAGAAUCGUCGAUAAUUCUUCUUAUCGAUCAUUCUACACCGGAUGCAGAUUUAUAAGCCUUUCAGAUUACGCGAGCCCCUCGUCGUCGGUGCAUCGAUGCAACGGUCCUUCCUUCUCCCCUCUCUUCCCCCUUCUCUCUCUUUCUCUCUUUCUCUCUCUCAAUCUCUAUGACGGUUUAUCAAUCUGUCGUUGCCCCUCUCCUCAACUCCUCUCGUGUUCUUCGUACUCGUGGCUCGUGCAGUUUUGUAAUUUCAACCUCAUUUUUGCGCAUCGCUAUCGCACCGUGCAAACACGAUAAAGUGACUUUAUCAGACGCAACCCACGAAAGAGAGAGAGAGAGAAAAAAAAGAAAGAGAAAGAGGAAAAGAGAGAGAGAGAGAGAGAGAGAGAGAGAGAACGCGAGCUUAUCGGCGUGCUUUAUUUUUUCAGGCCACUCAAGCAUUUUCGCAAGAGUCUGUUGCACCUCCGUGCCGUCUGAGUUGGCGGGACUCGCGGAAAAAAAAAGAAUGAAAAUAAAAGAAGUGUCGCAAUAGCCUCGUCACGGCCCACGAGUCGUUUAUUUUCCACGCCUUUUCGCGUUUGCUCUUUUCCGCCCUGAAACUAAAUUAUACAGUGUAACGAAAAAAAAAAAAAGAAAGAUAAUUUGACAAAAAUCUCUUGAUUCUAAUGUACAAAGAUCCAAUUAAAAUGAAAAACAAAAUUUCGAAUAUAACUCGUACGAAGGAGUCAUUUGAAACGAUACUGGCAAUAAACAUUAAGUAUUAAGUGAAAAGGAAAUUACUCGUCUCAAACAAGAUCCUAUUUCAGCAGUAUAAUCAGUUUUUAACAAACAGUGGAUGAGGAUUCGACUACUCUAGAAAAAAAAUAUACCGAAGGCAGAAGAAAGAAAUUACGUUACGAUAUCUAUAUAUAUAUACAUAAUCACUUAUUAUAAUUCAUAUAUAAAUAUCAUAUUAAGAUUAGUAAAAUUAUAGAUUCAUAAUCUAUUUUUAAUUAUUACAUAGUAUAUACACAGUUAUACUAAAAGUUAUA
Vespa crabro (European hornet) is the source of this 1919-nucleotide long non-coding RNA. RefSeq lists it as uncharacterized. Lineage: Eukaryota; Metazoa; Arthropoda; Insecta; Hymenoptera; Vespidae. The transcript is spliced from 3 exons. The record is from RefSeq and is a predicted model, not a curated record.